RNAcentral lists this ribosomal RNA (398 nucleotides) under uncultured bacterium. RNAcentral's name for it is "bacterial SSU rRNA". It matches the Rfam family "Bacterial small subunit ribosomal RNA", at positions 135 to 518 of the family's 1533-position model. The record is from RNAcentral.
GGCCCGGGAUAGCCCAGGGAAACCUGGAUUAAUACCGGAUGAGACGGGACCCGCGAUGGCGGGAUCCGGGAAAGGCGCUGCGGCGCCGCCGGGGGAUGAGUCUGCGUCCCAUUAGGCGUAGACGCGGGGUAACGGCCCACCGUGGCGACGAUGGGUAGCCGGCCUGAGAGGGUGACGGCCACAUUGGAACUGAGACACGGUCCAGACUCCUACGGGAGGCAGCAGCUAAGAAUCUUCCGCAGUGGGCGAAAGCCUGACGGAGCGAACCGGCCGCGUGAACGAAGAAGGCUGUGAGGUUGUAAAGUUCUUUUCGGGAGGGGAACAACCGUGGCAGGGAAUGGCCGCGGGAUGACGUGAAUCCCGGAAUAAGCCCCGGCUAACUACGUGCCAGCCGCGGC